RNAcentral lists this ribosomal RNA (274 nucleotides) under uncultured bacterium. RNAcentral describes it as "partial 16S ribosomal RNA". It matches the Rfam family "Bacterial small subunit ribosomal RNA", at positions 523 to 796 of the family's 1533-position model. The record is from RNAcentral.
AUACGGAGGGGGCUAGCGUUGUUCGGAAUUACUGGGCGUAAAGCGCGCGUAGGCGGAUCGUUAAGUCAGGGGUGAAAGCCCGGAGCUCAACUCCGGAACUGCCCUUGAUACUGGCGAUCUCGAGUCCGGGAGAGGUGAGCGGAAUUCCUAGUGUAGAGGUGAAAUUCGUAGAUAUUAGGAAGAACACCAGUGGCGAAGGCGGCUCACUGGCUCGGUACUGACGCUGAGGUGCGAAAGCGUGGGGAGCAAACAGGAUUAGAUACCCUAGUAGUCC